GAAGAGAGGAAGUGCAGCUGAAGGGCUGGAUAAGGAAAACAUCUCAAACCACUGUCAUCCCUGCCGGGGCCCCGUCGAAACUGUUCAAUUCGGGCCCCGCACUUCCUAAAGCCGGCCCUGCCUGCAAUUAUGGAGUAACCUGUGCACAGUGGAUGUUUUCUUCUAAUCUCCAUUUGUCAGAGCUAUUUUUCAGAUGGACAAGGGACUUGCCAAAGACCACAGAAUGUGAGUGGCAACCAGGAUUUAGAACAAAGGCAUCCCUGACUCUCAACUCCAUGCUCACUCCUGUGGUCUGCACAGCCUUUCAGACACCACCAUACAUCGAUUUGUUUGUAAAGCACUUCAGGGUCCUCUGAAUGAAAGGAACUAUAUUAAAUGUACAGUAGAAACAUUAUCUUUAAAUGUGUAUAUUUGAAAUUUCCUGCUGUGGCGUUCUGACUGCUAGAAGGAACUUAGCCAAAAUUGUGAAAAAUCUAAUAAACACACUGGCAUGUCAUAAAGACAGUUAAGGGACAAAUAUGGUUAAAACAUUUCAUGUAUUUGAAAUAAAAAGUCAAAUUAUAGUCGAGUUGAGAAAUAAAAGGCUAUUUUCUCCCCAAGAUGUCUCCAGUAGAAGCCCAGACAUGAGGGCAUAUACUCAUUGCAUGAUUUUCAAGAUUAACCUAGUAGUAGUGACAGAACGCUGCUGUAUAAUUGCCAUUGUUUCCAAGGUGUUACCACAUAUCAAAACACUAUUACAAGAGCCUAGUUUAAGUGCAUACCCAAGAGAAAUUAGGACAGGUUUUGUUUCUUUGCCUUUCUGGAAAAGAAAAAAAGGACCCUACACCAACACCCUGGUAAUUCUAUUUAAUUUAAUUUUGCAAAUUGCAUUGAAAUUAUACCCCUUCUCUCUUCCCCAUCCCCUGC
Molecule: long non-coding RNA, 906 nt
Organism: Mauremys reevesii (Reeves's turtle)
Lineage: Eukaryota; Metazoa; Chordata; Testudines; Geoemydidae
Exons: 3
Source: RefSeq, a predicted model, not a curated record